AAACGGUUCUCUCUAAUACAGGGGGCUAAUGACGAAGACCGUAAGAAUAAGCACCGGCUAACUACGUGCCAGCAGCCGCGGUAAUACGUAGGGUGCAAGCGUUAAUUUCGAAUUACUGGGCGUAAAGCGUGCGCAGGCGGUUUUGUAAGACAGAGGUGAAAUCCCCGGGCUCAACCUGGGAACUGCCUUUGUGACUGCAAGGCUGGAGUACGGGAGAGGGGGAUGGAAUU
RNAcentral lists this ribosomal RNA (230 nucleotides) under uncultured bacterium. RNAcentral describes it as "partial 16S ribosomal RNA". It matches the Rfam family "Bacterial small subunit ribosomal RNA", at positions 439 to 668 of the family's 1533-position model. The record is from RNAcentral.